RNAcentral lists this ribosomal RNA (539 nucleotides) under Tetraphleps aterrimus. RNAcentral describes it as "partial 16S ribosomal RNA". Lineage: Eukaryota; Metazoa; Arthropoda; Insecta; Hemiptera; Anthocoridae. The record is from RNAcentral.
GAUGUCAACCCGGUCCCCGCCUGUUUAUCAAAAACAUGUCUUUUUGUUUUUAUUUAAAGUCUAGUCUGCUCUAUGAUUAUUUAAAUGGCCGCAGUAUUUUGACUGUGCAAAGGUAGCAUGAUCAUUUGCUUCUUAAUUAGGAGCUUGUAUGAAUGGCUGGAUGAGAAAUUGACUUUCUUUAUUUUAUUUUAUAUAAUUUUAUUUUUUAGUUAAAAAGCUGGAAUUUUUUUAUAAGACGAGAAGACCCUAUAGAACUUUAUAUUUUAUUAUAUUAUUUAUUAUUAGAUAAUAAUUUUAUUAUAUUAUUAUUUAUUUUGUUGGGGUGACAGGUAAAUUUAUUUAACUUUACUUAUUUCAUAUUUCAUUAAUUUAUGAUUUAUUGAUCCAUUUAUUAUGAUUAAAAGUUUAAGUUACCUUAGGGAUAACAGCGUUAUUUUAUUGGAGAGUUCUUAUUUAUAAUAAAAUUUGCGACCUCGAUGUUGGAUUAAAAUUAGUUUUCGGAGUAGAAGCUGGUAUCAUACCCCGCUCGCCCUUUUUUC